This 407-nucleotide ribosomal RNA is filed under the name Rhyacotriton olympicus (Olympic salamander). RNAcentral describes it as "partial 16S ribosomal RNA". It matches the Rfam family "Bacterial large subunit ribosomal RNA", at positions 1970 to 2581 of the family's 2925-position model. Lineage: Eukaryota; Metazoa; Chordata; Amphibia; Caudata; Rhyacotritonidae. The record is from RNAcentral.
UGUCUUUUAAAUAAGCCUGUAUGAAUGGCAAAACGAAAGCUCAACUGUCUCUUUUAAUUAAUCAAUGAAAUUGAUCUUUCCGUGCAGAAGCGGAAAUAAUUUUAUAAGACGAGAAGACCCUAUGGAGCUUUAAACAAAUAUUAGUUAUUUAUAAAAUAAAAGUAAUAAGAGUUUUAGGUUGGGGCGACCGUGGAGAAAAAACUAACCUCCAAGAUAAAUAUUAGAAAUACACAUCAAAAUAAUAAAAAUUUAACAUAUUUGAUCCAAUAAUUGAUCAACGAACCAAGUUACCCUAGGGAUAACAGCGCAAUCUUCUCAAAGAGUCCUUAUCGACGAGUAGGUUUACGACCUCGAUGUUGGAUCAGGACACCCAAAUGGUGUAACCGUUAUUUAAGNNNNNGUUUGUU